GGACUACUGGGGUAUCUAAUCCUGUUUGCUCCCCACGCUUUCGCGCCUCAGCGUCAGAACCGGGCCAGAGAGCCGCCUUCGCCACCGGUGUUCUUCCCAAUAUCUACGAAUUUCACCUCUACACUGGGAAUUCCACUCUCCUCUCCCGGUCUCGAGCCCGCCCGUUUCAAGCGCACCUCCCGGGUUAAGCCCAGGGCUUUCACGCCUGACGCAACGAACCGCCUGCGCGCCCUUUACGCCCAGUAAUUCCGAACAACGCUAGCCCCCUCCGUAUUACCGCGGCUGCUGGCAC
RNAcentral lists this ribosomal RNA (292 nucleotides) under uncultured bacterium. RNAcentral describes it as "partial 16S ribosomal RNA". The record is from RNAcentral.